CCUACGGGAGGCAGCAGUGGGGAAUCUUGCGCAAUGCGCGAAAGCGUGACGCAGCAACGCCGCGUGAGGGAAGACGGCCUUCGGGUUGUAAACCUCUUUCAGUUGGGACGAAGCCACGGCGGUUAAUACCCGUCUGUGGUGACGGUACCUUCAGAAGAAGCCCCGGCUAACUACGUGCCAGCAGCCGCGGUAAUACGUAGGGGGCAAGCGUUGUCCGGAAUCAUUGGGCGUAAAGCGCGUGUAGGCGGCUUGGUAAGUCCGCUCUGAAAGCCCGGGGCUCAACCCCGGGAGGCGGGUGGAUACUGUCAAGCUCGAGUCCGGAAGAGGCGAGUGGAAUUCCUGGUGUAGCGGUGAAAUGCGCAGAUAUCAGGAGGAACACCAAUGGCGAAGGCAGCUCGCUGGGACGUGACUGACGCUGAGACGCGAAAGCGUGGGGAGCAAACAGGAUUAGAUACCCUGGUAGUCCACGCCGUAAACGAUGGGCACUAGGUGUGGGAGGUGUCGACUCCUCCCGUGCCGAAGCUAACGCAUUAAGUGCCCCGCCUGGGGAGGUACGGCGCGAGACGAACACAAGAGUAGAGCGUGAGAGNGCCGACGGACGACGACGAGGGAGAGG
This 616-nucleotide ribosomal RNA is filed under the name uncultured bacterium. Its description in RNAcentral is "bacterial SSU rRNA". The stretch from base 1 to 544 matches the Rfam family "Bacterial small subunit ribosomal RNA", at positions 338 to 873 of the family's 1533-position model. The record is from RNAcentral.